GUGACCUCAAAUCAGGUAGGACUACCCGCUGAACUUAAGCAUAUCAAUAAGCGGAGGAAAAGAAACUAACAAGGAUUCCCCUAGUAACUGCGAGUGAAGCGGGAAAAGCUCAAAUUUAAAAUCUGGCAGUCUUUUGGCUGUCCGAGUUGUAAUCUAGAGAAGUGUUAUCCGCGCUGGACCGUGUACAAGUCUCCUGGAAUGGAGCAUCAUAGAGGGUGAGAAUCCCGUCUUUGACAUGGACUACCAGGGCUUUGUGAUGCGCUCUCAAAGAGUCGAGUUGUUUGGGAAUGCAGCUCAAAAUGGGUGGUAAAUUCCAUCUAAAGCUAAAUAUUGGCGAGAGACCGAUAGCGAACAAGUACCGUGAGGGAAAGAUGAAAAGAACUUUGGAAAGAGAGUUAAACAGUACGUGAAAUUGCUGAAAGGGAAACGCUUGAAGUCAGUCGCGUCGUCCAGGGAUCAACCUUGCUUUUGCUUGGUGCACUUUCUGGUUUGACGGGUCAGCAUCAAUUUUGACUAUUGGAAAAAGUCUAAGGGAAUGUGGCAUCCUUGGAUGUGUUAUAGCCCUUGGUCACAUACAAUGGUUGGGAUUGAGG
This 593-nucleotide ribosomal RNA is filed under the name Cortinarius boulderensis. Its description in RNAcentral is "eukaryotic LSU rRNA". It matches the Rfam family "Eukaryotic large subunit ribosomal RNA", at positions 1 to 591 of the family's 3401-position model. Lineage: Eukaryota; Fungi; Basidiomycota; Agaricomycetes; Agaricales; Cortinariaceae. The record is from RNAcentral.